This 429-nucleotide ribosomal RNA is filed under the name Chloroflexota bacterium. RNAcentral describes it as "Chloroflexi bacterium partial 16S ribosomal RNA". It matches the Rfam family "Bacterial small subunit ribosomal RNA", at positions 355 to 776 of the family's 1533-position model. The record is from RNAcentral. Lineage: Bacteria; Bacillati; Chloroflexota.
UGGGGAAUAUUGCACAAUGGGCGCAAGCCUGAUGCAGCCAUGCCGCGUGUAUGAAGAAGGCCUUCGGGUUGUAAAGUACUUUCAGCGGGGAGGAAGGCGGUGAGGUUAAUAACCUCAUCGAUUGACGUUACCCGCAGAAGAAGCACCGGCUAACUCCGUGCCAGCAGCCGCGGUAAUACGGAGGGUGCAAGCGUUAAUCGGAAUUACUGGGCGUAAAGCGCACGCAGGCGGUCUGUCAAGUCAGAUGUGAAAUCCCCGGGCUCAACCUGGGAACUGCAUCUGAUACUGGCAAGCUUGAGUCUCGUAGAGGGGGGUAGAAUUCCAGGUGUAGCGGUGAAAUGCGUAGAGAUCUGGAGGAAUACCGGUGGCGAAGGCGGCCCCCUGGACGAAGACUGACGCUCAGGUGCGAAAGCGUGGGGAGCAAACAGG